CACAUCAACACGCAAUAUAUCCGUUAAUAAGCACGCCCUGCUGCUUUAAAUGUUUGAGCUCUUCAAAGUCGCUGAAUUCUGAUUGGCUGUCAAAGCUUUUAUGGUUCAUCAGCUGAAAAAAAAAAACACUUCGUAAAUGAUUCACACAAUAUUGUUCUCAGUAUCGGUCGUUAUCCGUAUAGCUGUAGUGUGAACUCAUAGAUUUAGACUGAUAAUUAAACCAUCACUGUUAUCGUUUUAGUUAUCGUCAUUGGUUUGAAUGGGCCUUUAACGAUUUUAUUUGUUUUGUUUUAUUCCACUUCCUCUCAUGUUGCGUUUUUAAUAGCCACAACAUGUUUUUGCAUUUCGCCGCACUGCUUUCCCAUUGUUUUAUAUAUAAACGUACACGCUUGAUCGCUUUUGAAGCAUCUCGCGCAUGAGUGGCUAUUCGCACUGAACGCUUAUUUGCAUUGGAAGACAUGAGACUUCAUAUGCGUUCGUACGAUCUCAUUAAUACGGUUUUGUAGAUCUGCUUACGCCCCACUCAUGGUUAGCUUUAGGGGUAGACCUUCAAGCAUCUGUACGAAAAUUGUACGUUUGCGUAUGAUUCUGGUUUCAAAAAACUACGUAGAAUUUGGUCACCGUGCGUGGUGACCUGCUGACCUAGGCAUGUGGUCUGGACCUGCUUGUUUUCUCGCUGCAUAGCUAGACAGCAUUUUUGCCAAUUAUCUUCUCAUAAUAGACUAAAAUUACAGUGAGCUGUUUAUCUAGACAUUAGUUUGUGGCAUUAUAGCCUCUAACCCGAGUGUGCUGCCCAUCUAGUGUCUUUUCAGCUUCAUGUAGGUCACAACUCUGGCUGAGUCACAUGAUUUGGAGGACUAUAAUGAAUAGAGGCUCCUCAAAGAAAGAAAGAAUGCGAUUAAUGAGUCCUUUCUCAAUGGCUCUUUCUGUUGCAGAUAGCGCCGUUGGCGGUAAAAGCAGUUUGUUUUGGCCGCUGAAGUGUUUCCCGGGAGUUUUCAGAAAGACACACAGAGGACAAGCUGACGUAAACACCAAUAGUUGGCAGCAGGGUACAAGGAUGUUGAUUUGCAUUCAGAUUGAAACCUGUUGUUUCACUAUGAACUAACCGUGCAAUCUUAACUCUUCUAGCCAAUCCAAAUGCAGCCGAGGAAGGAAUUCCACUGCAGACGCGGCACACAACAGACUGACGCCAUGCCGGCUCUGCAAAUAGACCAAAAUGGAUGAAGAACAAGCCUCGAACCGUGUGCCUGUGCGCUACACAGGUCAUAUACUCUUGCACUAUGACGUACCAGUCAGGAAGAUCUGGAGAAGUGAGAAAUGAAGGCGAUGAAAGGCUGCUAGAGCAUUAUACGUGAUGCAAUUUUUUUUGUUAUCUCAGAAGGAUAUAUCACUACUAUCACAGUAACGUACAGAGUUUAUUAGUAUUAAAUAAUCUAAUGUGACAAUUCCUGAACACUGUGAAUGAC
Cyprinus carpio carpio is the source of this 1466-nucleotide long non-coding RNA. NCBI's taxonomy places the organism in Eukaryota, Metazoa, Chordata, Actinopteri, Cypriniformes, Cyprinidae. The record is from Ensembl.